AUAAUGGCGUUUUUUUUUUUAAAACGCCACAGAAGACCAUUAUUUUACAAAAAAAAAAAGGGAAAUCAAAAUCCCGCUCACUCCCAAAAAAAUAACUUUUGCUUACCCACUCGUUACUCCCUCUUCUUCUCAUCUAUGUCACUCGCCCUAAAUCCCCCAAAUAAAAUUUAGCUACUCUUUUUCUCUUGUUACUCUUUUUCUCUCGAUCCUUCGUUUCUUUUCACUGUCUAGAUAUAUCCGCCUCUCUCAUCUUCCGUUGUUUAUACGUUUGGUUGUUGUUGAAGAAGUGCUACUACCAUGGCUACAAAGAAGAGCGUUAGGGACUUGAAGGAAGCUGAUUUGAAGGGAAAGAAAGUGUUUGUUAGAGUCGAUCUAAACGUUCCAUUGGAUGAUAACUUCAACAUAACUGAUGACACAAGGAUCCGUGCUGCUGUUCCCACCAUCAAGUAUUUGAUGGGUCAUGGCUCUAAAGUCAUCCUCUCUAGUCAUUUGGUAAUUUGUUAUGGGAUACUUUUGGUUUUGAUGGCUGUUGGGAACUUUAUAAACACAAUACAGACACUCGUGACAAAAUCAAUGUUUAAAGCAAAGAUGAAAAGAUCAAAGAGCAAGCCGGAGUUGGAUUAAAAUGUCCUUGAUUGUUAGGACUGAGCCAUGCUUCCUUUACAGCCACUCAGGAGCGAGAAACUACUUUGAAUCAGCUACUAAUAGAGCUUGAUGGGUUUGAUACUGACAAAGCCUUUGUGCUAAAUUUGUACCACCAGCCUUAAUGGUCUCUCCCUUUCUUUAUCAUUUCUAUUCUUGCUACUUAAUUAUCAAAAAAUGGGUGCACCAACAGACUCAGCCCUCGAUAUCGAUGAACAGAUCUCGCAGUUGAUGCAAUGUCAGAGCAUUAUGCAACAAGGCAUAAAAUAUACAUCUCAAAGACUAGAUAUAUUUGCAUGUGUUAGGCAAAAUGGUUGAACAAGAAAUUGAGCAAAUUAUGGCCUUUUGUUGCAGAGAUGAAAUUUAGACAGGUUGUUCAACUCUUUUGGUGCUUUCUGAAGUGAAAAUAAUUGAAAUUGUUCUCUAUCCUGACUUUGGCUUACAGGUGCAUACUUUGGCUUUCUGUUCCGGUGUUUUGGAUUCUCUGGCGGUUGAAUUGAAAGCAUCAAAGGGAUUCUCUAAGUUAUAUGCAGGCAUUGCAAUACUUUGGCUUCAUCUAAGCUUGAACCAGCCCUCUGUUGUAUAUUGUUUCUUCUUCUUUUUUGAUCUUUUUCCUUUGAUUAAUGAGAGGUAAUGAUGAUUUGGCAUUCUUUUCUCACUAGGAUGAAUUUUGUUUUAGAAAUUGUAAUACUUUGUGUGUGUGUGUGUGUGUGUGUGUGUGUUUAUGUAUUAAAUUACAUAUUGAAUCAAUGUUUAUGUAUUAAAUUUAAAUUCA
Molecule: RNA transcript, 1417 nt
Organism: Gossypium arboreum
Lineage: Eukaryota; Viridiplantae; Streptophyta; Magnoliopsida; Malvales; Malvaceae
Gene name: phosphoglycerate kinase, cytosolic-like
Exons: 10
Source: RefSeq, a predicted model, not a curated record